AGCGAACGCUGGCGGCAGGCUUAACACAUGCAAGUCGAGCGGGCGUAGCAAUACGUCAGCGGCAGACGGGUGAGUAACGCGUGGGAACGUACCUUUUGGUUCGGAACAACACAGGGAAACUUGUGCUAAUACCGGAUAAGCCCUUACGGGGAAAGAUUUAUUGCCGAAAGAUCGGCCCGCGUCUGAUUAGCUAGUUGGUGAGGUAAUGGCUCACCAAGGCGACGAUCAGUAGCUGGUCUGAGAGGAUGAUCAGCCACAUUGGGACUGAGACACGGCCCAAACUCCUACGGGAGGCAGCAGUGGGGAAUAUUGGGCAAUGGAGGCAACUCUGACCCAGCAACGCCGCGUGAGGGAAGAAGGUUUUCGGAUUGUAAACCUCUGUCCUUGGGGACGAAGAAAGUGACGGUACCCGAGGAGGAAGCCCCGGCUAACUACGUGCCAGCAGCCGCGGUAAUACGUAGGGGGCGAGCGUUGUCCGGAAUUACUGGGCGUAAAGGGUGCGUAGGCGGUGAGAUAAGAUAGAUGUGAAAUCCCCGGGCUUAACUCGGGUGUUGCAUUUGUGACUGUCUUGCUAGAGUGCNNNAGAGGAAAGCGGAAUUCCUAGUGUAGCGGUGAAAUGCGUAGAUAUUAGGAGGAACACCGGUGGCGAAGGCGGCUUUCUGGACUGUAACUGACGCUGAAGCACGAAAGCGUGGGGAGCAAACAGGAUUAGAUACCCUGGUAGUCCACGCUGUAAACGAUGGAUACUAGGUGUAGGGCCCGAAUUGGGUUCUGUGCCGCAGUUAACGCAGUAAGUAUCCCGCCUGGGGAGUACGACCGCAAGGUUGAAACUCAAAGGAAUUGACGGGGGCCCGCACAAGCAGCGGAGCAUGUGGUUUAAUUCGAAGCAACGCGAAGAACCUUACCAAGGCUUGACAUCCUCUGACGUACGUAGAGAUACGUAUUCCCUUCGGGGCAGAGAGACAGGUGGUGCAUGGUUGUCGUCAGCUCGUGUCGUGAGAUGUUGGGUUAAGUCCCGCAACGAGCGCAACCCCUAUUAUUAGUUGCCAGCACGUAAAGGUGGGAACUCUAAUGAGACUGCCGGGGAUAACUCGGAGGAAGGUGGGGACGACGUCAAAUCAUCAUGCCCCUUAUGUCUUGGGCUACACACGUGCUACAAUGGUCGGUACAAAGGGCAGCGAAGCGGAGACGCGGAGCGAAUCUUAAAAAAGCCGAUCCCAGUUCGGAUUGUGGGCUGCAACCCGCCCACAUGAAGUUGGAGUUGCUAGUAAUCGCGAAUCAGAAUGUCGCGGUGAAUGCGUUCCCGGGCCU
Molecule: ribosomal RNA, 1311 nt
Filed under: uncultured bacterium
Lineage: Bacteria
Description: bacterial SSU rRNA
Rfam family: Bacterial small subunit ribosomal RNA
Source: RNAcentral